CCUACGGGAGGCAGCAGUGAGGAAUAUUGGUCAAUGGACGAGAGUCUGAACCAGCCAAGUAGCGUGAAGGAUGACUGCCCUAUGGGUUGUAAACUUCUUUUAUAUGGGAAUAAAAUGUUCCACGUGUGGGAUUUUGUAUGUACCAUAUGAAUAAGGAUCGGCUAACUCCGUGCCAGCAGCCGCGGUAAUACGGAGGAACCGAGCGUUAUCCGGAUUUAUUGGGUUUAAAGGGAGCGUAGGUGGAUUGUUAAGUCAGUUGUGAAAGUUUGCGGCUCAACCGUAACAUUGCAGUUGAAACUGGCAGUCUUGAGUACAGUAGAGGUGGGCGGAAUUCGUGGUGUAGCGGUGAAAUGCUUAGAUAUCACGAAGAACUCCGAUUGCGAAGGCAGUUCACUGGACUGCAACUGACACUGAGGCUCGAAAGUGUGGGUAUCAAACAGGAUUAGAUACCCUAGUAGUC
Molecule: ribosomal RNA, 460 nt
Filed under: uncultured bacterium
Lineage: Bacteria
Description: partial 16S ribosomal RNA
Rfam family: Bacterial small subunit ribosomal RNA
Source: RNAcentral